AAGAUGAGCAGAGCCAGGGCUGGAAUUGGAAUGAUAUGGUAUAAUGCAAUGCUGACAGCAUGGACAUGUGAUGUGAUGACAUGACAUCAAGAUGUUACCAUAGUGUGGUGCAAGCUCUUUUCCUUCCUAGAGGAUUUCAGAAGCUAGCUAUCGUAAAUGGGGAAAGCAGCUGGAGUAUCUUUAUUACUGUGUCAAUCACCAGCAUCUGAUCCUAUGG
Alligator sinensis (Chinese alligator) is the source of this 217-nucleotide long non-coding RNA. RefSeq lists it as uncharacterized. NCBI's taxonomy places the organism in Eukaryota, Metazoa, Chordata, Crocodylia, Alligatoridae. The record is from RefSeq and is a predicted model, not a curated record. The transcript has 3 exons.